GUUCGAGCCCUGUGCAACGCGCCCUGUGAACUCCGCCAGGCCCGGAAGGGAGCAACGGUAAGCAGCCAGCUCGUGUGCCGCAGGUCGCUUGAACCCC
RNAcentral lists this signal recognition particle RNA (97 nucleotides) under Acidobacteriota bacterium. RNAcentral describes it as "signal recognition particle sRNA small type". It matches the Rfam family "Bacterial small signal recognition particle RNA". From Rfam's summary of the family: The signal recognition particle (SRP) is a universally conserved ribonucleoprotein involved in the co-translational targeting of proteins to membranes. Archaeal SRP consists of a 7S RNA and homologues of the eukaryotic SRP19 and SRP54 proteins. Lineage: Bacteria; Pseudomonadati; Acidobacteriota. The record is from RNAcentral.